UCUAAGUGGAUUACAAUCUAUUUCCAAUGUAGCUGGGUCACCCUGCACUCCACAUAGUAUAGCCUUUCCUAGGAGAGACACAGGGGUCCUCCAGCACUCCACACAACAGAGCCUUUCCUAGGAGAAACACAGGGGUCCUCCAGCACUCCACACAACAGAGCCUUUCCUAGGAGAAACACAGGGGUCCUCCAGCAUUCCACACAACAGAGCCUUUCCUAGGAGAAACACAGGGGUCCUCCAGCACGUCACACAGUAGAGCCUUUCCUAGGAGAGACACAGGGGUCCUCCAGCACUCCACACAACAGAGCCUUUCCUAGGAGAAACACAGGGGUCCUCCAGCACUCCACACAACAGAGCCUUUCCUAGGAGAGACACAGGGGUCCUCCAGCACUCCACACAACAGAGCCUUUCCUAGGAGAAACACAGGGGUCCUCCAGCACGCCACACAGCAGAGCCUUUCCUAGGAGAGACACAGGGGUCCUCCAGCAAGCCACACAGUAGAGCCUUUCCUAGGAGAGACACAGGUUCUCCAGCACUCCACACAACAGAGCCUUUCCUAGGAGAAACACAGGGGUCCUCCAGCAUUCCACACAACAGAGCCUUUCCUAGGAGAAACACAGGGGUCCUCCAGCACUCCACACAACAGAGCCUUUCCUAGGAGAAACACAGGGGUCCUCCAGCACUCCACACAACAGAGCCUUUCCUAGGAGAAACACAGGGGUCCUCCAGCACUCCACACAACAGAGCCUUUCCUAGGAGAAACACAGGGGUCCUCCAGCACUCCACACAACAGAGCCUUUCCUAGGAGAGACAUAGGGGUCCUCCAGCACGUCACACAGUAGAGCCUUUCCUAGGAGAGACACAGGUUCUCCAGCACUCCACACAACAGAGCCUUUCCUAGGAGAGACACAGGGGUCCCCAGUCUGUUGUCUGGUCAGCAAGGUCUUGCAGUCUGUUUCUGACACCUUUCUAUAAAAUAAUUGCACCGUUCAGAUGAAAAAAUGUAUUUUAGGAGAGAAUGUGAGAGCUGCUUUUGGUCUAAUUGCAAUCUGGUGAAUCUGCAACUACUACCCCUGCAGAAGGAUACAUGAUUCAUACCGUAUAAUGGGACUUGGGUCACUGUUACAAGCACUUACAUUUGGAAUCAAAAUCUAAAAAAUGCAUGCUGGC
Molecule: long non-coding RNA, 1170 nt
Organism: Polyodon spathula (Mississippi paddlefish)
Lineage: Eukaryota; Metazoa; Chordata; Actinopteri; Acipenseriformes; Polyodontidae
Exons: 2
Source: RefSeq, a predicted model, not a curated record